Molecule: ribosomal RNA, 747 nt
Filed under: unidentified archaeon
Lineage: Archaea
Description: bacterial SSU rRNA
Rfam family: Archaeal small subunit ribosomal RNA
Source: RNAcentral
UCCGGUUGAUCCUGCCAGAGGUUACUGCUAUCGGUGUUCGCCUAAGCCAUGCGAGUCAUAUGUUCUUCGUGAACAUGGCGUACUGCUCAGUAACACGUGGAUAACCUGCCCUUGGGUCCGGCAUAACCCCGGGAAACUGGGGAUAAUUCCGGAUAACGCACAUAUGCUGGAAUGCUUUAUGCGUAAAAUGGAUUCGUCUGCCCAAGGAUGGGUCUGCGGCCUAUCAGGUAGUAGUGGGUGUAAUGUACCUACUAGCCUACAACGGGUACGGGUUGUGAGAGCAAGAGCCCGGAGAUGGAUUCUGAGACAUGAAUCCAGGCCCUACGGGGCGCAGCAGGCGCGAAAACUUUACAAUGCGGGAAACCGUGAUAAGGGGACACCGAGUGCUAGCAUCAUAUGCUGGCUGUCCAGGUGUGUAAAAUACACCUGUUAGCAAGGGCCGGGCAAGACCGGUGCCAGCCGCCGCGGUAACACCGGCGGCCCGAGUGGUGAUCGUGAUUAUUGGGUCUAAAGGGUCCGUAGCCGGUUUGGUCAGUCCUCCGGGAAAUCUGACAGCUCAACUGUUAGGCUUUCGGGGGAUACUGCCAGACUUGGAACCGGGAGAGGUAAGAGGUACUACAGGGGUAGGAGUGAAAUCUUGUAAUCCCUGUGGGACCACCUGUGGCGAAGGCGUCUUUACCAGAACGGGUUCGACGGUGAGGGACGAAAGCUGGGGGCACGAACCGGAUUAGAUACCCGGGUAGUCCC